Bacteroidetes bacterium GWA2_31_9 is the source of this 39-nucleotide non-coding RNA. The record is from Rfam. Lineage: Bacteria; Pseudomonadati; Bacteroidota.
ACAGCGAUUGCCGAAAAGCUGAAAAAAAUAGAGUAGGCA